This 1207-nucleotide ribosomal RNA is filed under the name metagenome. RNAcentral describes it as "bacterial SSU rRNA". It matches the Rfam family "Bacterial small subunit ribosomal RNA", at positions 297 to 1520 of the family's 1533-position model. The record is from RNAcentral.
AGGGUGACCGGCCACACUGGGACUGAGACACGGCCCAGACUCCUACGGGAGGCAGCAGUCGGGAAUAUUGGGCAAUGGGGGAAACCCUGACCCAGCAACGCCGCGUGAGUGAUGAAGGCCUUCGGGUCGUAAAGCUCUGUCCUUGGGGACGAAGAAAUGACGGUACCCAAGAAGAAAGCCACGGCUAACUACGUGCCAGCAGCCGCGGUAAUACGUAGGUGGCGAGCGCUGUCCGGAAUUACUGGGCGUAAAGGGCGAGUAGGCGGUUUUACAAGUCAGAUGUGAAAUGCAUGGGCUCAACCCAUGAACUGCAUUUGAAACUGUAAGACUUGAGUGCGGUAGAGGAAAGUGGAAUUCCCAGUGUAGCGGUGAAAUGCGUAGAUAUUGGGAGGAACACCAGUGGCGAAGGCGACUUUCUGGGCCGUAACUGACGCUGAGGCGCGAAAGCGAGGGGAGCAAACAGGAUUAGAUACCCUGGUAGUCCACGCCGUAAACGAUGGAUGCUAGGUGUGGGAGGUAUCGACCCCUUCCGUGCCGGAGCUAACGCAAUAAGCAUCCCGCCUGGGGAGUACGACCGCAAGGUUGAAACUCAAAGGAAUUGACGGGGGCCCGCACAAGCAGCGGAGCGUGUGGUUUAAUUCGAAGCAACGCGAAGAACCUUACCAAGGCUUGACAUCCCUCGCUAUCUGCGGAAACGCAGAGUUCCCUUCGGGGACGAGGAGACAGGUGGUGCACGGUUGUCGUCAGCUCGUGUCGUGAGAUGUUGGGUUAAGUCCCGCAACGAGCGCAACCCUUGUUCUUAGUUGCCAGCAUUAAGUUGGGCACUCUAGGGAGACUGCCGGUGAUAAACCGGAGGAAGGUGGGGAUGACGUCAAAUCAUCAUGCCCCUUAUGUCUUGGGCUACACACGCGCUACAAUGGUCUGUACAAAGGGAAGCGAAGUCGCGAGGCAGAGCGGAUCCCAUAAAACAGAUCUCAGUUCAGAUUGCAGGCUGAAACUCGCCUGCAUGAAGUCGGAGUUGCUAGUAAUCGCGAAUCAGAACGUCGCGGUGAAUGCGUUCCCGGGCCUUGUACACACCGCCCGUCACACCACGAAAGUCUGCAACACCCGAAGUCGGUGAGCUAACCGUAAGGAAGCAGCCGCCUAAGGUGGGGCCGAUGAUUGGGGUGAAGUCGUAACAAGGUAGCCGUAUCGGAAGGUGCGGCUG